This 490-nucleotide ribosomal RNA is filed under the name uncultured bacterium. RNAcentral's name for it is "partial 16S ribosomal RNA". It matches the Rfam family "Bacterial small subunit ribosomal RNA", at positions 30 to 507 of the family's 1533-position model. The record is from RNAcentral.
AUUGAACGCUGGCGGCAGGCCUAACACAUGCAAGUCGAACGGUAACAGGAAGCAGCUUGCUGCUUCGCUGACGAGUGGCGGACGGGUGAGUAAUGUCUGGGAAGCUGCCUGAUGGAGGGGGAUAACUACUGGAAACGGUAGCUAAUACCGCAUAAUGUCGCAAGACCAAAGAGGGGGACCUUCGGGCCUCUUGCCAUCGGAUGUGCCCAGAUGGGAUUAGCUUGUUGGUGGGGUAACGGCUCACCAAGGCGACGAUCCCUAGCUGGUCUGAGAGGAUGACCAGCCACACUGGAACUGAGACACGGUCCAGACUCCUACGGGAGGCAGCAGUGGGGAAUAUUGCACAAUGGGCGCAAGCCUGAUGCAGCCAUGCCGCGUGUAUGAAGAAGACCUUCGGGUUGUAAAGUACUUUCAGCGGGGAGGAAGGGAGUAAAGUUAAUACCUUUGCUCAUUGACGUUACCCGCAGAAGAAGCACCGGCUAACUCCGUG